UUAUAAAAGCAAGACACUGUACGAACCUUCACAACAUCAUCUCACUUUAAAUUGUAGUUUUCUACUCCGUUUAUGUGAUCUCGGCGUCUCGUCGGAGCACACAUACUCCGGCCAUCUCCUUGUUUGUGCUAAGCUUCGCAAAUCGUUGAUAGACGAAGUGAUCAAGAAAACAAGCUAGGAUGAACUUAGAAACCCAUCUUAGAAAUAAACAUUGUUUUGAUUACGUUUGAAUCUUGUAUGACAUUUUACUUUGAGCGAUUUGUUCGUCUCAUCCCGAUGUUUCCGCCAUCGGUUGGGGUGUGA
RNAcentral lists this long non-coding RNA (303 nucleotides) under Helianthus annuus (common sunflower). Its description in RNAcentral is "sRNA HanXRQr2_Chr11g0494431". The record is from RNAcentral. Lineage: Eukaryota; Viridiplantae; Streptophyta; Magnoliopsida; Asterales; Asteraceae.